UGUCGAUUUAUUGGGCGUCGAGCGCAGGCGGAAUGAUAAGUCUGAUGUGAAAGCCCACGGCUAACCGUGGAACUGCAUCGGAAACUGUCAUUCUUGAGUGCAGAAGAGGAGAGUGGAACUCCAUGUGUAGCGGUGGAAUGCGUAGAUAUAUGGAAGAACACCAGUGGCGAAGGCGGCUCUCUGGUCUGCAACUGACGCUGAGGCUCGAAAGCAUGGGUAGCGAACAGGAUUAGAUACCCUGGUAGUCCAUGCCGUAAACGAUGAGCGCUAGGUGUUGGGGACUUUCCGGUCCUCAGUGCCGCAGCAAACGCAUUAAGCGCUCCGCCUGGGGAGUACGACCGCAAGGUUGAAACUCAAAGGAAUUGACGGGGGCCCGCACAAGCGGUGGAGCAUGUGGUUUAAUUCGAAGCAACGCGAAGAACCUUACCAGGUCUUGACAUCCUGCGCUACACCUAGAGAUAGGUGGUUCCCUUCGGGGACGCAGAGACAGGUGGUGCAUGGCUGUCGUCAGCUCGUGUCGUGAGAUGUUGGGUUAAGUCCCGCAACGAGCGCAACCCUUGUCUUUAGUUGCCAUCAUUAAGUUGGGCACUCUAAAGAGACUGCCGGUGACAAACCGGAGGAAGGUGGGGAUGACGUCAAGUCAUCAUGCCCCUUAUGACCUGGGCUACACACGUGCUACAAUGGGCAGUACAACGAGAAGCGAACCCGCGAGGGUAAGCGGAUCUCUUAAAGCUGCUCUCAGUUCGGACUGCAGGCUGCAACUCGCCUGCACGAAGCUGGAAUCGCUAGUAAUCGCGGAUCAGCACGCCGCGGUGAAUACGUUCCCGGGCCUUGUACACACCGCCCGUCACACCAUGGAAGUCUGCAAUGCCCAAAGUCGGUGAGAUACCUUUAUAGGAGUCAGCCGCCUAAGGCAGGGCAAUGACUGGGGUGAAUCGUACGGGC
This 945-nucleotide ribosomal RNA is filed under the name Lactobacillus delbrueckii. RNAcentral describes it as "bacterial SSU rRNA". It matches the Rfam family "Bacterial small subunit ribosomal RNA", at positions 544 to 1495 of the family's 1533-position model. The record is from RNAcentral. Lineage: Bacteria; Bacillati; Bacillota; Bacilli; Lactobacillales; Lactobacillaceae.